This 276-nucleotide long non-coding RNA is filed under the name Chloebia gouldiae (Gouldian finch). RNAcentral's name for it is "Erythrura gouldiae (Gouldian finch) lncRNA (ENSEGOG00005001837.1)". The record is from RNAcentral. Lineage: Eukaryota; Metazoa; Chordata; Aves; Passeriformes; Passeridae.
CCCGCCGCGCCUCGCCCGUGCUGCUGCUCCGAGGGAGCAUCUUUAGCGGCUUGCCUGUCCUGUGCUGUAACCAAGGGCAUUUGAUUUUCACAAGCGUUUAACCGAGGGUCUUUUCUCAGCAUGCAGUCUCUUUAUAUUUGGGUGUGAUCACCAACCACAUCCUCUGCACUGGACAUUUGGCUUCUCUUUCCAUAUCUUCUUCCUGCUUUUCUGAAGGAUAAAAUAUUAAAUUGUUCUGGGCUUGAGGAGUAAAGGAUAAAUUCAUUCACUGGCUGA